RNAcentral lists this unclassified non-coding RNA (264 nucleotides) under uncultured Ajellomycetaceae. Its description in RNAcentral is "sequence contains ITS2". The record is from RNAcentral. Lineage: Eukaryota; Fungi; Ascomycota; Eurotiomycetes; Onygenales; Ajellomycetaceae.
AACGCACAUUGCGCCCUCUGGUAUUCCGGGGGGCAUGCCUGUCCGAGCGUCAUUGCAACCCUCAAGCGCGGCUUGUGUGUUGGGCCUUCGUCCCCUGUGGACGUGCCCGAAAUGCAGUGGCGGCGUCGUGUUCCGGUGCCCGAGCGUAUGGGGCUUUGUCACCCGCUCAUGGAGGCCCGGCCGGCCCCGGCCAACCCCCAAUCGAGGACUCGUUCCUCAACCAAGGUUGACCUCGGAUCAGGUAGGGAUACCCGCUGAACUUAA